Molecule: ribosomal RNA, 459 nt
Filed under: uncultured bacterium
Lineage: Bacteria
Description: partial 16S ribosomal RNA
Rfam family: Bacterial small subunit ribosomal RNA
Source: RNAcentral
CCUACGGGAGGCAGCAGUGAGGAAUAUUGGUCAAUGGGCGCGAGCCUGAACCAGCCAAGUAGCGUGAAGGAUGACUGCCCUACGGGUUGUAAACUUCUUUUAUAAAGGAAUAAAGUGAGGCACGUGUGCCUUUUUGUAUGUACUUUAUGAAUAAGGAUCGGCUAACUCCGUGCCAGCAGCCGCGGUAAUACGGAGGAUGCGAGCGUUAUCCGGAUUUAUUGGGUUUAAAGGGUGCGUAGGCGGUCCGUUAAGUCAGCGGUAAAAUUGCGGGGCUCAACCCCGUCGAGCCGUUGAAACUGGCAGACUUGAGUUGGCGAGAAGUACGCGGAAUGCGCGGUGUAGCGGUGAAAUGCAUAGAUAUCACGCAGAACUCCGAUUGCGAAGGCAGCAUACCGGCGCUCAACUGACGCUCAUGCACGAAAGUGUGGGUAUCGAACAGGAUUAGAUACCCCAGUAGUC